This 347-nucleotide ribosomal RNA is filed under the name Triticum aestivum (bread wheat). Its description in RNAcentral is "partial small subunit ribosomal RNA". Lineage: Eukaryota; Viridiplantae; Streptophyta; Magnoliopsida; Poales; Poaceae. The record is from RNAcentral.
CGCGCCGCCGAGGAGGAGAAGCAGCGCGCCAUGCGGGACCACGCCGCCGCCAAGGAGCGCGCCAGCGGCGAAGAGACGGAGGACCGCAACGGCGGUCACAGCCCUGCCCCUGCGGGCGGCCACGGUGAGUAAUGAGGAGCGCGCGUCCCGCCGACCCGAGCGACUGAGUGAUCCAGCAGUUAUACGUAUUCUUAUGGUGUUAACCGUGUCGUGUGUGUUUUCCGUAACUCGGGUAUUGAUGAUGUUUUCCGCUGCUGCUUGUGAUCUGUAAUCGAACGAGACAUGUGUAUAAAAUUGUUAGUACGGUACAAUUGUCAGCAGAACGAAUGGUGUUUACGAGACUGAAC